UUUCCGUAGGUGAACCUGCGGAAGGAUCAUUGUCGAAACCUGCAAAAGCAGACCGUGAACAUGUCAAACCAUUCGGGAUCGAGGCGCGGGGGCAACCUCGCGCUGAGUCCUCUUCUCGUGCGCGUUCGUUUUUCGAGCUAACGAACCCCGGCGCGGCAUGCGCCAAGGAUUACUAAUAGGAGCGUUCGCCUUCGUCGCCCCGUACUCGGUGCGCGACGCGGGACGUCUCUAAAAGUCUAAACGACUCUCGGCAACGGAUAUCUCGGCUCUCGCAUCGAUGAAGAACGUAGCGAAAUGCGAUACUUGGUGUGAAUUGCAGAAUCCCGUGAACCAUCGAGUCUUUGAACGCAAGUUGCGCCCGAAACCACUCGGUUGAGGGCACGUCUGCCUGGGCGUCACGCAUCGCGUCGCCCCCGCCCUGUCCCCGGAAGUUGGCCCCCCGUGUGCGAAAGCACGCGGUCGGCCUAAAUUCGAACCCGCGGCGACUCGCGUCACGAUCAGUGGUGGUUGAAACUCAACUUUCUUGCUAUUGUGUCGAAAGUCGCUCGACGGGCGAAGCAUCGAACCCAAUGGCUCGUUCAAACCGAGCUUUCGACCGCGACCCCAGGUCAGACGGGAUUACCCGCUGAGUUUAA
RNAcentral lists this ribosomal RNA (635 nucleotides) under Euphrasia regelii. Its description in RNAcentral is "eukaryotic LSU rRNA". The stretch from base 243 to 398 matches the Rfam family "5.8S ribosomal RNA". The record is from RNAcentral. Lineage: Eukaryota; Viridiplantae; Streptophyta; Magnoliopsida; Lamiales; Orobanchaceae.